Non-coding RNA from Cladophialophora chaetospira, 107 nucleotides. The record is from the annotation of a GenBank genome assembly. Lineage: Eukaryota; Fungi; Ascomycota; Eurotiomycetes; Chaetothyriales; Herpotrichiellaceae.
GUCUAUGGCGCAGUGGUAACGCGUCGCACUUGUAUACCACUAGAAAGAGAACCUUUCUUGAUGCCAUAAAAAUGCGAAGAUCACAAGUUCAAUUCUUGUUGGAGGCA